This 253-nucleotide ribosomal RNA is filed under the name uncultured bacterium. Its description in RNAcentral is "partial 16S ribosomal RNA". It matches the Rfam family "Bacterial small subunit ribosomal RNA", at positions 524 to 776 of the family's 1533-position model. The record is from RNAcentral.
GACGAACCGUGCGAACGUUGUUCGGAUUCACUGGGCUUAAAGGGCGCGUAGGCGGGUCUUCAAGUCCGGGGUGAAAUCCUCUCGCUUAACGAGAGAACUGCCCCGGAUACUGAGGACCUCGAGGGAGGUAGGGGCAUGUGGAACUUCCGGUGGAGCGGUGAAAUUCGUAGAUAUUCGCAAGAACACCAGUGGCGAAGGCGGCUCACUGGCCCGGUACUGACGCUGAGGUGCGAAAGCGUGGGGAGCAAACAGG